RNAcentral lists this ribosomal RNA (1476 nucleotides) under Ktedonobacteria bacterium brp13. Its description in RNAcentral is "bacterial SSU rRNA". It matches the Rfam family "Bacterial small subunit ribosomal RNA". Lineage: Bacteria; Bacillati; Chloroflexota; Ktedonobacteria. The record is from RNAcentral.
UUGGCGAGUUUGAUCCUGGCUCAGGAUAAACGCUGGCGGCGUGCCUAACACAUGCAAGUCGAACGCCCUUAGCAAUAAGGGAGUGGCGGACGGGUGAGGAACACGUGGGUCAUCUACCUUUCGGUGAGGAAUACCGGCGAGAAAUCGCCGACAAUACCGCAUACGCUCGCAAGAGCAAAGUUCGCAAGAGCGCCGGAAGAUGAGCCUGCGGCCGAUUAGUUAGUUGGUGGGGUAAUGGCCUACCAAGGCGUCGAUCGGUAGCUGGUCUGAGAGGACGAUCAGCCACACUGGGAUUGAGAACGGCCCAGACUCCUACGGGGGGCAGCAGUGAGGAAUUUUCGUCAAUGGGGGCAACCCUGAACGAGCAACGCCGCGUGCAGGAAGAAGGUUUUCGGAUCGUAAACUGCUUUUCUCUGGGACGAGAACGGACGGUACCAGAGGAAUCAGCCUCGGCUAACUACGUGCCAGCAGCCGCGGUAAUACGUAGGAGGCAAGCGUUGUCCGGAUUUAUUGGGCGUAAAGCGCACGCAGGCGGUCGUAUCAGUCCAGGGUGACAGUUUCCGGCUUAACCGGAAAAGGACUCUGGAGACGGCACGACUUGAGGGCUUCAGAGGGAUGUGGAAUUCCAGGUGGAGUGGUGAAAUGCGUAGAGAUCUGGAAGAACACCAAAGGCGAAGGCAACAUCCUGGGGAGUCACUGACGCUCGGGUGCGAAAGCUAGGGGAGCGAACGGGAUUAGAUACCCCGGUAGUCCUAGCCGUAAACGAUGACCACUAGACGUUGGGGGUAUCGACCCCUCCAGUGUCGCAGUUAACACAAUAAGUGGUCCGCCUGGGGAGUACGGUCGCAAGAUUAAAACUCAAAGGAAUUGACGGGGACCCGCACAAGCAGCGGAGCGUGUGGUUUAAUUCGAUGCAACGCGAAGAACCUUACCAGGACUUGACAUGCAAAUGCACCAGCGGUAACGCGCUGUCUCCUUCGGGAGCGUUUGCACAGGUGCUGCAUGGCUGUCGUCAGCUCGUGUCGUGAGAUGUUGGGUUAAGUCCCGCAACGAGCGCAACCCCUAUCGUUAGUUGUACUUUUCUAGCGAGACUGCCGGUCAAACGGAGGAAGGAGGGGAUGACGUCAAGUCAGCACGGCCCUUACGUUCUGGGCGACACACACGCUACAAUGGUCAGGACAAUGGGAUGCGAACCCGCGAGGGGGAGCAAAUCUAAGCAAACCUGAUCUCAGUUCGGAUUGGAGGCUGCAACCCGCCUCCAUGAAGUUGGAGUUGCUAGUAACCGCAAGUCAGCACAUUGCGGUAAAUACGUUCCCGGGUCUUGUACACACCGCCCGUCACACCACGAAAGUCGGCAACACCUGAAGCCGCCAGGCUAACCCGCAAGGGAGGCAAGCGUCGAGGGUGGGGUCGGUGAUUGGGGUGAAGUCGUAACAAGGUAGCCGUACCGGAAGGUGCGGCUGGAUCACCUCCUUU